AUUGUGCCAGCCGCCGCGCGGUAAUACGUAGGGUGCAAGCGUUGUCCGGAUUUAUUGGGCGUAAAGAGCUCGUAGGCGGUUAGUCACGUCGGAUGUGAAAACCCGGAGCUUAACUCCGGGCCUGCAUUCGAUACGGGCUGACUCGAGUGUUGUAGGGGAGACUGGAACUCCUGGUGUAGCGGUGAAAUGCGCAGAUAUCAGGAAGAACACCGGUGGCGAAGGCGGGUCUCUGGGCAACUACUGACGCUGAGGAGCGAAAGCGUGGGGAGCAAACAGGAUUAGAUACCCUGGUAGUCCACGCCCUAAACGAUGUUCUCUAGUUUUUCCAAGUAUCGACCCUUGGAGAGAUGAAGCUAACGCGUUAAGAGAACCGCCUGGGAAGUACGGCCGCAAGGCUAAAACUCAAAGGAAUAGACGGGGACUUGCACAAGCGGUGGAUCAUGUGGUUUAAUUCGACGGUGAACGAAGAACCUUACCAGGGCUUGAAAUCCCGCCUGUAAACCUUGCCGAAAGGCAUGGCUUCUUACAAGGAAGGCGGGACAGGUGAUGCAUGGCUGUCGUCAGUUCGUGGUUUGAAUUGUUCCCUUAAGUGGGGCAACGAACGCAACCCUCAUUGUCUGUUACAAGUGUCAGGCGAGACUGCCCUUUUUGGGAGGAAGGAGAGGACGACGUCAAGUCAGCAUGUCCCUCUGACGCCCUGGGCUACACACAUGAUACAAUGGCUGGUACAAAGAGUCGCAAAGCCGAGAGGCGGAGCAAAUCUCAUCAAAACCAGUCUCAGUUCGGAUUGAGGUCUGCAACUUGACCUCAUGAAGCUGGAAUCGCUAGUAAUCGCGGGUCAGCUAUACCGCGGUGAAUACGUUCUCAAGUCUUGCACACACCGCCCGUCAAAU
Molecule: ribosomal RNA, 893 nt
Filed under: uncultured bacterium
Lineage: Bacteria
Description: bacterial SSU rRNA
Rfam family: Bacterial small subunit ribosomal RNA
Source: RNAcentral